UAGGGGCAGUUUGAUCCUGCGUCAGAGUUCCAAAGGGAAAGCUAGAACUGGGGAACGAAGCAGCAAGGUGACCUGAAAGCUCAGAAUUGACGCAGGAGUCCCUCCAGGGGAAGGCGUAGAAUUGGAGAAACCCUGGGCAACGUGAUGGAAGCAACCACUUAACAACGGCUCAAGGGAAGAAAGAAAAAGUGAAAACCAAGAAUAAGGAAGGAGCAACUGAAUAGCUAGAGCAUAAAGGCCUAUGAAUUGAAGAGAUUGGCACAAAGCUGGAGAAACGGAGGGACUGCCAGAGAAUGAUGCGGGGACAGAAGGGUAACCACAGAAGAGGCUGAAGACUGGGGAGCAGGUGUAGUUGUCUGAAUGGGUAUGAAGGCUGAGCGCUAAACAAAAACAAUCAGACAGUAAAAGCAGAGUUAAAGGAAAGUCAGCACUGUUGGCAGCUUGCUGCUGGGAGCGCCAAAGAUACUGGAGGCAUGGGGAAGGCAAGAUGCGGAGGUGAAAUUCUAAC
This 508-nucleotide long non-coding RNA is filed under the name Homo sapiens (human). RNAcentral describes it as "HSALNT0236701". Lineage: Eukaryota; Metazoa; Chordata; Mammalia; Primates; Hominidae. The record is from RNAcentral.